UUACGGUUAAGUAAAGCUAGCCGUACCUAACAGCCGCACCUUAGCCGUACCUUAGCCGUACUUAAGAAAAUUCGUAAUUAGCAGCUCUGUGUGAAUAUCUAUGCCGAUAAAAAUGAUGCAAAAUGGAGCACUCCAUCGUCGAGCCCCAGUAACCCCCAGGGAAUCCUCAAUGAUGAAAUACCGAUAAUAAUAUAUCUUACAUGUAUUAUAAUUUUUAUAAAAUGAUUUUAAUACAAAUACAAAAGAGAUUUUUAAAA
Molecule: long non-coding RNA, 257 nt
Organism: Hydractinia symbiolongicarpus
Lineage: Eukaryota; Metazoa; Cnidaria; Hydrozoa; Anthoathecata; Hydractiniidae
Exons: 2
Source: RefSeq, a predicted model, not a curated record